GGCACAAUGGCUAAGCGCUUGGCUGCUAACUGAAAGGUUGGUGGUUCAAACCCACCCAGUGCCU
RNAcentral lists this transfer RNA (64 nucleotides) under Loxodonta africana (African savanna elephant). It matches the Rfam family "tRNA". From Rfam's summary of the family: Transfer RNA (tRNA) molecules are approximately 80 nucleotides in length. Their secondary structure includes four short double-helical elements and three loops (D, anti-codon, and T loops). The record is from Rfam by way of RNAcentral. Lineage: Eukaryota; Metazoa; Chordata; Mammalia; Proboscidea; Elephantidae.